AAAAAAGUGAUUAUAAGGAUUCGAAUACAAUGAUGACGAGAUACGGUACUUUGAACAAGUCAACAUCAGUAUCACUGUCAUUCAUAUAACAAUGAAACAACAAAUUGAACAAGUUUUCCGCCCCGUCUUUCAGCGACAUAAUAACUUCCAGUAUCCCGAUCUCUGUUGCCACGGACAAUAUCAUCAGUAUUUCCAGCACGGAUUCUUCGAUUUGCACAUUACGCCUAGAGAAUACCUGGCAAAAAUGACAGAUUAUUCUGACGAAAACAAAGUUCUGAACUUCAUAGAGUCAUUUUUCUACGAAGAAUGUCAAAUUAACAUUAUUGUUCGUGUUGGUUUUGGUACUGGGGCUAUGAUGAGAAAAAAUGUCUUCGGCAGAACAAAUAUCAAGCGCGGAUUCCCGUUCCAGCUGGGGUCUAUUCCAAACACUCCCAUAAUUCCUUACACAAACCCACAAGACUUCUUGACUUUCGCAUGGUUCAAAUACAACGUUAUCUGCAAAGAGCAACCGUGGAUAUGCCCUUUUCAUUCUAAUUAUGAAGUCGGAGAGUCUUCCGGGGUUAGAGGCGAACUGCGAUCACACCCUGUUCCUGACGAAUUUUAAAGCAAAACAAACAAAUAAAAAAAAUAGGUGCGGUGUCAUUUAAUGUCAAUUAUUUGACGACUUUCAAUCGCCGAAAAAAAUGUUCAAGAGUUAUACUCCAUGGAUAAACGGAUCUCUUUAACUAUA
Molecule: long non-coding RNA, 730 nt
Organism: Symsagittifera roscoffensis
Lineage: Eukaryota; Metazoa; Xenacoelomorpha; Acoela; Convolutidae
Exons: 3
Source: RefSeq, a predicted model, not a curated record